AAAGUGCAUCAGAACCCUGGCUGCAUUUCUCUUGACAACCUUGGCCCAUCUUCUGCCUACUCCAGGAUUCAACCUUGGGCAAGCAGCAGCUUCAUUCUUCUGAAAUCAUCUACUCCAUGGUCAUUGCUUCAACCAGCGCCCCCUCCACUGACUGUCCCGGGGCACUGGAUACCAAGAAGAGCUGCAGUUAUUCCCACACGGUGGCAAUGGGAUUUCCUUACAUCCUAGAAGCACAAGCUCCAGACCUCUUCAGGCCCGUCCGUAAAGCAAGUGCUCCCUCAGUUUUUUAAUCUAAUCAAGGACAAGUCAGGAGGAAGUCCAGAUCCAGGUGAGAAGGAUGUAGCAAUGAAAU
Molecule: long non-coding RNA, 352 nt
Filed under: Fukomys damarensis (Damara mole-rat)
Lineage: Eukaryota; Metazoa; Chordata; Mammalia; Rodentia; Bathyergidae
Description: lncRNA (ENSFDAG00000028560.1)
Source: RNAcentral